CCUAUAGUAGUUUUCCAUCAUCACAUCUCUAUAAGGGCUCCUUUGAUCAGGUGCCAGAAAAUCCUACUCCUUCUAAGUAAAUUUCACAGCCACAGCUUCAAAGGCCAUUAACUCCAUUUCCUGGAUCAAGAUUCUGAGGCUUUCUUUGGGCAUCAGCCAUACCGUCCAAGAGGGAAGAGGGAAAAAGGUGGAACUGCAGCCACAUGGAGCAAUCUGGAAUCAAAUGGGAGAAGUUUGUGCCAUGCAGGCUGGUGGAACAACUGGGAUUUUACUUUACAAUGGUUAAACAGUCAGGAAUAUUUGACUUGUUCUUGGAAUAUCUGUGAUGCAAUAUCAGAGAAACCUCAAGGCAAAACAAACAAAAAAAAAGGGUGAGAAAUCUCUGAAGAGACUGAAGUGAAGGCACAGCCCCAAACUGAGGCAAGUGUCCAGUGGCAAGUGUCUGAAGGAAGUCUCAAGCCUCCGCAGCACUGGUUGGAACCAAGAGGAAUUUGAACAGGUGAUAAAAUGUCUCCCUUGCUUCAUCAGGAAGGCCUGUCUACUUCUGCAUGGAGGCAAAUUACACAUUUGCCUAGAGAUGUGCUAAGACAUUCGUGAAGAAAUUUAAAAGCUAAGGCCACUGAGGAAAUGUUCUUUAUGAGAUGGAAUCUCUGGAGGUAUCACCACAGUUGGCAGCAGUUAGAAGUGAGAUAUGUUCACAAGUACUGAAUAUGAAGAGGGAUGCUUGCGUGGGGCUUAGUAGUCCAGAGGAUCCAAAUGGCUUAGUAGGCUUAGAGGAUCCAAAUGGAGCUUCUCCUUGGGCCCACUGCUGGUCUGCUGUAUACGGUUAUAACCAGCCACACCUGGGUCAGCCCAGUGAGAGCUUCCAGGUGGACAUAGGUGGGAAAUCCCUGGUUUCUAACACAGGCACAACUGUCCUGUAUUAGACACAGUCCUAACACAAAAAGAAUUUCAAGGCCUAGAAUCUAGUUAGUCCUGGGUACAAGAAUCAUUACUUCCUAUGGUGGGUGAAGUGGUUUCUGAGUGAAAACACGUCAUGAAUUGGGGGAUGCCUGCAUGGUCUAAGGGCUGAAUCUACAUCCCCUUGAGUAUGAUUGGCAGUGCAAAUCAUUCAAGACAUCUCAGGCAUCAAAUGUGUUCUAAAUGCCCUCAGGUCACAAAUAUCUUGCAGAGCAAUCAUGAUAUUAAAAAUUAAAAUUAUUUGGCCUCUGUGUGAUCUAUGCCACUAUAUUCCUUUAUAAACCUAAAACCAUACAAUAACAAAAAUGACAGAAAAAUUUAUCAACUGGAGACUGCGGUGAAAGGGGACUGAGAGGAGUGAUCUGUGGGUAAAUUACUAUCAAACAAAAUUGGAGCUGCCAUAAAGAUGUUUUGACUCAUUAGUAUGUGAUGGAGCUUGACAAGUGUUGAAAGGAAUCUAAGAGAUUGAUAGUUCCUGGUUUGUGGUCAGUGAAGACAGAAUGUUGAGCUAAAGAGCAAUAUUUGACUUCCUUGAACAAAUACCUGACUCCCAGGGAUGUGGUGAGUCAUUAGUGAAAGGCAUGAAAGCCCUGAUCACGUAUCUUUCUUGCUUGCUGGAUUAUAAUGAAGGACAAGGCUAAAGUUGGAAACCAAGAAGGAACUGGCAACCAGAAAUUCACUUAUGGUUUCAAGCCUCAGCUAUGCAUAGAGAACUUUGUAUAGAGAAAUUCAUCAUUACCAUUUCUAUGAUGAGAGAAAACUACACAAACUACACAAAUUGAAAAUCAACGACUUCUUGGACCUGCCAAGAAACCAAGGUUGCAAGACAAACUGAAAUCUGGAAAGAUAAAGCACUCAGGGAGACACAGUCAGAUUUGCUUUCCUGGAACAGAAGCUUCUGGAGCCAUGAACUGAUAUUUUCAUCUUCUGUGUCAUCAUCUUCCAAGAUGAAAGCCCUUCUAGAACGAAAUGCCUACUCCAGCUUAGUCAGACCACCUGUCUCCAUCAUCUUUAUUCACCCACUGGUUCCAUUUUAAAAAGGAAGAUCCAGGCAGUUGUUCAAACCACUUCAGUUCCUUCUGAAUUUCUUAAGGAAAUCCUAUUUCUAGAGGCGGUGUUAUAAGAGGAGAAAUUUUUAACAGCCUUCUUAGCCUUUGCGUUUGCAAUAAUUUAAGGGAAUUAUUUCUCAACAAAACAAUGUGAUGAAAUAAUCUUUGCAUAAUAAGAGCUACCAUUUCUUUUUUUUAACAACUUCAUUGACCUCUAAGUUAUAUACAACACAUUCACCAAUUUUCAGAGAUCAAUCUGAUAAACCUUGGCAAAGGCAUACAAUAAUGUAAUCACCAUUGAAAUUAAGGUAGAAAAUAUUUCCCUAACACCAAAAAGAUUUCUCAUAAUCUAUCCUCUACACCUGGCUCCAGGAAAUCACUAAUUUGCUUCCUGUUGCUACACUUUUUCGUUUUAUAGAACUUCAUAGAAAUGUAAUUACGUAACAUUAUCUUUCAUGUCUGGUUUCUUUCAAUAAACCAGAUGUUUCCGAGAUACAUUCAUGUUAUUUUAUAUAUUGAUUGUUUGUUCCUUCAUAUUGCUAAGUAAUAUUCCACUGUGUAGAUUUUUCAUAAAUAAUUUAUCAUUCAUCAAUCCAUUGACAUUUUGUUUUCAGUUUUUAUUUAUUAACAAUAAUGAUGUGAUGAACAUUUGCAUACAAAUUUUCCAUAGGCAUAUUUU
This is a long non-coding RNA of Heterocephalus glaber (naked mole-rat), 2688 nucleotides long. The record is from Ensembl. Lineage: Eukaryota; Metazoa; Chordata; Mammalia; Rodentia; Bathyergidae.